This 193-nucleotide signal recognition particle RNA is filed under the name Trichobilharzia regenti. Its description in RNAcentral is "Metazoan signal recognition particle RNA". It matches the Rfam family "Metazoan signal recognition particle RNA", at positions 1 to 195 of the family's 299-position model. Rfam says of the family: The signal recognition particle (SRP) is a universally conserved ribonucleoprotein. Lineage: Eukaryota; Metazoa; Platyhelminthes; Trematoda; Strigeidida; Schistosomatidae. The record is from Rfam by way of RNAcentral.
GCUGGGCGUGAUGGUGUGCACCUUUUAGUCUAGCUACUUGGAGGCCAGGGUGCGGAAUUUCGCGGGACCGGGAGUUCUGAAACAUGAGUGCUCAUGUUGAUCGGGCGUCCACGCUAAGCACGCGCCGAUAUGGAUGAUCUGUCAGAGGGCUGGUUGUCCAGAUCGACUAAAGAGGGAUGCACCGGCCCAGGGG